UUUUUAACCCAGCCAGAGACGGUCACAAGCCCGUGAAAUGGGGAGUGGAAA
Molecule: non-coding RNA, 51 nt
Filed under: unclassified sequences
Source: RNAcentral